AUAAAACGACAAACAAGGGUGUGUUUGCGAUGGAAAAGGAGCUGAUCUGGAUGCAAGCAGUGCAUGUUUAAUUUCUGCUUUUCUUCUCUCUCAGCCGGGGGCGGGUUCCAAAUUCUUAAAUUUCAGGUCAAAACAGAGAGGAUUGAAAGAGAUUUUGAGCUGACAGCGCUUUGUAGAGGAUCAGUGCGUGAAGAAGAACCUGGUCCAAAAAUGGGGGAGGAAAACAGAGCACCCAGAGGAAACCCACACAGACACAGGGAGAAUGUGCAAACUCCACACAGACAGACGCCCCGAGGGUGGAUUCAAAUCCCGGUCCCUGGCGCUGUGAAGCAGCAGUGCUAACCACUGAGCCAUUGUGCUGCACCAAAACAGGUUCAACUGACUUCAGGUAACCAGACAGUACUGUCCCCCAACAACAUUAUAAUGGACCAUCAGCACAAUGCAGAGACCAAACAUGAACUUGUACGGCAGUGAGACAAGGGGACACCCAGCAGAGAUACAGUCCAAUAUUGAAGGCUGCUGUAAUGUUUCUUCUGGUGAAGUUCACAAUUCUCUCACAUCUGCCCUACCUCAGCAGCAACAGGUUCCUGCAGAUGUUGUGAAGGAGACGGAUGUAUUCCGACGCAGCCCGCAGUACGUGCACUUUGCUGGGUUUCCGGUCUUUACGGAUCAGCGGAACGAUGCUUUUGAGCUUUGAAAAGCCGCCGUUUAUGCUCUGGACCUGAAAUGAGAAGCACAUUGCCUGGCUAUCACAAAGAGAUGCACAGGGCCUUUACAGUUGACUGAUGUUUAACUCAUCUACUUUGAGACCGGAGAGAUCUGCUAAUACACUUGAGGAUCUAGCACUUCUUUGAGAGAGCUGAUAGAGGUUUAAAGACUAGAAUAAAUCUUCUUCACCUCGUCGUUUAUUUGCUGCAUCAGUUUUAAAUGAUUUGAAACAUACUAAGAGCCACCACUCCAUCGGCAGAAGCUUCUGUAGUCUGCAAUCGUACAGCAACACAGCGCAAGAGUCCAUUUGGCUCUCUGAAUCCAUGCUAGCCCUCCUCUCUCUCGUCAGUUCCCA
Long non-coding RNA from Stegostoma tigrinum, 1063 nucleotides. RefSeq lists it as uncharacterized. The record is from RefSeq and is a predicted model, not a curated record. The transcript is spliced from 3 exons. Lineage: Eukaryota; Metazoa; Chordata; Chondrichthyes; Orectolobiformes; Stegostomatidae.